GCCUACGGGAGGCAGCAGUGGGGAAUAUUGGACAAUGGGCGAAAGCCUGAUCCAGCCAUGCCGCGUGUGUGAAGAAGGUCUUCGGAUUGUAAAGCACUUCAGCGGGGAGGAAGGAAAGUAGAUUAAUAAUUUGCAAUUUUGACGUUACCGACAGAAUAAGCACCGGCUAACUCUGUGCCAGCAGCCGCGGUAAU
This 194-nucleotide ribosomal RNA is filed under the name uncultured bacterium. Its description in RNAcentral is "partial 16S ribosomal RNA". It matches the Rfam family "Bacterial small subunit ribosomal RNA", at positions 337 to 524 of the family's 1533-position model. The record is from RNAcentral.